GAUGAAGAACGUAGCGAAAUGCGAUAAGUAAUGUGAAUUGCAGAAUUCAGUGAAUCAUCGAAUGUUUGAACGCACAUUGCGCCCGCCAGUAUUCUGGCGGGCAUGCCUGUUCGAGCGUCAUUUCAACCCUCAGGCCCCCAGUGCCUGGUGUUGGGGAUCGGCCCAGCCUUCCUGUAAGGCCGCCGGCCCCGAAAUCUAGUGGCGGUCUCGCUGUAGUCCUCCUCUGCGUAGUAGCACAACCUCGCAGUUGGAACGCGGCGGUGGCCAUGCCGUUAAACACCCCACUUCUGAAAGUUGACCUCGGAUCAGGUAGGAAUACCCGCUGAACUUAAGCAUACAAUAAGCGGAGGA
RNAcentral lists this unclassified non-coding RNA (351 nucleotides) under soil metagenome. RNAcentral describes it as "partial contains 5.8S ribosomal RNA, internal transcribed spacer 2, and large subunit ribosomal RNA". The stretch from base 1 to 120 matches the Rfam family "5.8S ribosomal RNA", at positions 35 to 154 of the family's 154-position model. The record is from RNAcentral.